RNAcentral lists this ribosomal RNA (301 nucleotides) under uncultured bacterium. Its description in RNAcentral is "partial 16S ribosomal RNA". It matches the Rfam family "Bacterial small subunit ribosomal RNA", at positions 509 to 807 of the family's 1533-position model. The record is from RNAcentral.
CAGCCGCCACGGGAAUACGUAGGGUACAAGCGUUAAUCGGAAUUACUGGGCGUAAAGCGUGCGCAGGCGGUUUGUUAAGACAGAUGUGAAAUCCCCGGGCUCAACCUGGGAACUGCAUUUGUGACUGGCAAGCUAGAGUGUGGCAGAGGAUGGUGGAAUUCCCGGUGUAGCGGUGAAAUGCGUAGAGAUCGGGAGGAACAUCAGUGGCGAAGGCGGCCAUCUGGGACAACACUGACGCUGAGGCACGAAAGCGUGGGGAGCGAACAGGAUUAGAUACCCCAGUAGUCCCUGUCUCUUAUAC